Molecule: ribosomal RNA, 1354 nt
Filed under: metagenome
Description: bacterial SSU rRNA
Rfam family: Bacterial small subunit ribosomal RNA
Source: RNAcentral
CGGGUUAGUAACACGUGGAUAAUCAACCCCAAAGUUAGGCAUAGCCCGGAGAAAUCCGGGGUAAUUCCUAAUAGUCCUACUCUGUAAUAAGGUAUAGGUAAAGCUCCGGCGCUUUGGGACGAGUCCGCGGCCUAUCAGUUUGUUGGUGAGGUAAUGGCUCACCAAGACUAUGACGGGUAGGGGGCGUGAGAGCGUGAUCCCCAACAAUGGUACUGAGAAACGGACCAUACACCUACGGGUGGCUGCAGUCGAGAAUCUUCGGCAAUGGGCGAAAGCCUGACCGAGUGACACCGCAUGUGGGAAGAAGACCUUCGGGUUGUAAACCACUUUUAUAGGGGAGGAACUUUUGUGACGUUACCCUAUGAAUAAGGGGGGGCUAAUCACGUGCCAGCAGCAGCGGUAAUACGUGACCCUCAAACGUUAUCCGAAAUUAUUGGGCGUAAAGAGUCUUAAGGUGGUCCGGAUAGUUUUUGGUUAAAUUUUUGGAGCUUAACUUCAGAACUGCCAGAAAUACUUCCGAACUAGAGGGCGUUAGAGGCAAGCAGAACGCACGGAGUAGGGGUGAAAUCCGUUGAUAUCGUGCGGAAUACCAAAAGCGAAGGCAGCUUGCUGGGACGACCCUGACACUGAUUGACGAAAGCUAGGGGAGUGAAGAGGAUUAGAUACCCUCGUAAUCCUAGCCGUAAACGAUGGACACUAGCUGGUGGAAGUAUCGACCCUUUCACUGGCGAAGCUAACGCGUUAAGUGUCCCGCCUGGGAAGUACGUCGGCAACGAUAAAACUCAAAGGAAUAGACGGGGAUUUACACAAGCGGUGGAUCACGUGGCUUAAUUCGAUGUUAAGCGGAUAACCUUACCAGGGCUUGACUCGCUAAUGGAAAGCUGAGGGAAACCUCGGCCCCCGCAAGGCCAUUAGUACAGGUGUUGCAUGGUUGUCGUCAGCAGUAGUCGUGAGAUGCUCUCUUAAAUGAGGUAUACUGCGCAACCCUUACUCUAUGUUUUAUUUGUCAUAGAGGACUGCCAAGGUCAACUUGGAGGAAGGCGGGGACAACGCCAAAUCAGCAUGACCCUUACGUCCUGGGCAGCACACGUGAUACAAUGGCAAGUUUAAUAGGUCGCCAAGCGGUAACGCGGAGCUAAUCCUUAAAGCUUGUCUCAGUUCGGAUUGAGGUCUGAAACUCGACCUCAUGAAGUCGGAAUCGCUAGUAAUCGCGGAUCAGCUACGCCGCGAUGAAUAUGUCACUGAAUCUUGUACUCACCGCCCGUCACGCCAGAGAAGCUGGGAACACCCGAAGUGCCCAUGAACUUGGGACCUAAGGUGGAUUCAGUAACUAGGGCGAAGUCGUAACAAGGCA